Molecule: ribosomal RNA, 2904 nt
Filed under: Klebsiella oxytoca
Lineage: Bacteria; Pseudomonadati; Pseudomonadota; Gammaproteobacteria; Enterobacterales; Enterobacteriaceae
Description: bacterial LSU rRNA
Rfam family: Bacterial large subunit ribosomal RNA
Source: RNAcentral
UUAAGCGACUAAGCGUACACGGUGGAUGCCCUGGCAGUCAGAGGCGAUGAAGGACGUGCUAAUCUGCGAAAAGCGUCGGUAAGGUGAUAUGAACCGUUACAGCCGGCGAUGUCCGAAUGGGGAAACCCAGUGCAAUUCGUUGCACUAUCGUUAACUGAAUACAUAGGUUAACGAGGCGAACCGGGGGAACUGAAACAUCUAAGUACCCCGAGGAAAAGAAAUCAACCGAGAUUCCCCCAGUAGCGGCGAGCGAACGGGGAGCAGCCCGGAGUCUGAAUCAGCUUGUGUGUUAGUGGAAGCGUCUGGAAAGUCGCAGGGUACAGGGUGAUACUCCCGUACACUAAAACACACAGGUUGUGAACUCGAAGAGUAGGGCGGGACACGUGGUAUCCUGUCUGAAUAUGGGGGGACCAUCCUCCAAGGCUAAAUACUCCUGACUGACCGAUAGUGAACCAGUACCGUGAGGGAAAGGCGAAAAGAACCCCGGCGAGGGGAGUGAAAAAGAACCUGAAACCGUGUACGUACAAGCAGUAGGAGCCCACUAGUUGGGUGACUGCGUACCUUUUGUAUAAUGGGUCAGCGACUUAUAUUCUGUAGCAAGGUUAACCGAAUAGGGGAGCCGCAGGGAAACCGAGUCUUAACUGGGCGUUAAGUUGCAGGGUAUAGACCCGAAACCCGGUGAUCUAGCCAUGGGCAGGUUGAAGGUUGGGUAACACUAACUGGAGGACCGAACCGACUAAUGUUGAAAAAUUAGCGGAUGACUUGUGGCUGGGGGUGAAAGGCCAAUCAAACCGGGAGAUAGCUGGUUCUCCCCGAAAGCUAUUUAGGUAGCGCCUCGUGAACUCAUCUUCGGGGGUAGAGCACUGUUUCGGCUAGGGGGUCAUCCCGACUUACCAACCCGAUGCAAACUACGAAUACCGAAGAAUGUUAUCACGGGAGACACACGGCGGGUGCUAACGUCCGUCGUGAAGAGGGAAACAACCCAGACCGCCAGCUAAGGUCCCAAAGUCAUGGUUAAGUGGGAAACGAUGUGGGAAGGCCCAGACAGCCAGGAUGUUGGCUUAGAAGCAGCCAUCAUUUAAAGAAAGCGUAAUAGCUCACUGGUCGAGUCGGCCUGCGCGGAAGAUGUAACGGGGCUAAACCAUGCACCGAAGCUGCGGCAGCGACACUAUGUGUUGUUGGGUAGGGGAGCGUUCUGUAAGCCGUUGAAGGUGGCCUGUGAGGGUUGCUGGAGGUAUCAGAAGUGCGAAUGCUGACAUAAGUAACGAUAAUGCGGGUGAAAAACCCGCACGCCGGAAGACCAAGGGUUCCUGUCCAACGUUAAUCGGGGCAGGGUGAGUCGACCCCUAAGGCGAGGCCGAAAGGCGUAGUCGAUGGGAAACAGGUUAAUAUUCCUGUACUUGGUGUUACUGCGAAGGGGGGACGGAGAAGGCUAUGUUGGCCGGGCGACGGUUGUCCCGGUUUAAGCAUGUAGGCGGAUGUUCCAGGUAAAUCCGGAACGUCACUAACGCUGAGGUGUGAUGACGAGGCACUACGGUGCUGAAGUGACAAAUGCCCUGCUUCCAGGAAAAGCCUCUAAGCAUCAGGUAACAUCAAAUCGUACCCCAAACCGACACAGGUGGUCAGGUAGAGAAUACCAAGGCGCUUGAGAGAACUCGGGUGAAGGAACUAGGCAAAAUGGUGCCGUAACUUCGGGAGAAGGCACGCUGAUGGUAGGUGAAGUGACUUGCUCAUGGAGCUGAAAUCAGUCGAAGAUACCAGCUGGCUGCAACUGUUUAUUAAAAACACAGCACUGUGCAAACACGAAAGUGGACGUAUACGGUGUGACGCCUGCCCGGUGCCGGAAGGUUAAUUGAUGGGGUUAUCCUCACGGAGAAGCUCUUGAUCGAAGCCCCGGUAAACGGCGGCCGUAACUAUAACGGUCCUAAGGUAGCGAAAUUCCUUGUCGGGUAAGUUCCGACCUGCACGAAUGGCGUAAUGAUGGCCAGGCUGUCUCCACCCGAGACUCAGUGAAAUUGAACUCGCUGUGAAGAUGCAGUGUACCCGCGGCAAGACGGAAAGACCCCGUGAACCUUUACUAUAGCUUGACACUGAACACUGGUCCUUGAUGUGUAGGAUAGGUGGGAGGCUUUGAAGUGUGGACGCCAGUCUGCAUGGAGCCAUCCUUGAAAUACCACCCUUUAAUGGCUGGUGUUCUAACGUGGGCCCGUGAUCCGGGUUGCGGACAGUGUCUGGUGGGUAGUUUGACUGGGGCGGUCUCCUCCUAAAGAGUAACGGAGGAGCACGAAGGUCAGCUAAUCCUGGUCGGACAUCAGGAGGUUAGUGCAAUGGCAUAAGCUGGCUUGACUGCGAGCGUGACGGCGCGAGCAGGUGCGAAAGCAGGUCAUAGUGAUCCGGUGGUUCUGAAUGGAAGGGCCAUCGCUCAACGGAUAAAAGGUACUCCGGGGAUAACAGGCUGAUACCGCCCAAGAGUUCAUAUCGACGGCGGUGUUUGGCACCUCGAUGUCGGCUCAUCACAUCCUGGGGCUGAAGUAGGUCCCAAGGGUAUGGCUGUUCGCCAUUUAAAGUGGUACGCGAGCUGGGUUUAGAACGUCGUGAGACAGUUCGGUCCCUAUCUGCCGUGGGCGCUGGAGAAUUGAGGGGGGCUGCUCCUAGUACGAGAGGACCGGAGUGGACGCAUCACUGGUGUUCGGGUUGUCAUGCCAAUGGCAUUGCCCGGUAGCUAAAUGCGGAAGAGAUAAGUGCUGAAAGCAUCUAAGCACGAAACUUGCCCCGAGAUGAGUUCUCCCUGACCCUUUAAGGGUCCUGAAGGAACGUUGAAGACGACGACGUUGAUAGGCCGGGUGUGUAAGCGCAGCGAUGCGUUGAGCUAACCGGUACUAAUGAACCGUGAGGCUUAACCUU